GUUUCAGGGCGGGGUGAGAUUCCCCACUGGCGGUAACGGGAGCGACGGCAAGAAGCCCGGCGCGAGGCCCGAAGUCCGCGACCCGCGAAAAUGCGGUGGACCUGGUGAGAAUCCAGGACCAACGGUCAAAGUCCGGAUGGAAGAAA
Molecule: non-coding RNA, 146 nt
Filed under: uncultured Olsenella sp.
Lineage: Bacteria; Bacillati; Actinomycetota; Coriobacteriia; Coriobacteriales; Atopobiaceae
Also listed under: 1 other name
Description: FMN riboswitch (RFN element)
Rfam family: FMN riboswitch aptamer (RFN element)
About the family: The RFN element is a highly conserved domain that is found frequently in the 5'-untranslated regions of prokaryotic mRNAs that encode for flavin mononucleotide (FMN) biosynthesis and transport proteins. This element is a metabolite-dependent riboswitch that directly binds FMN in the absence of proteins.
Source: RNAcentral